RNAcentral lists this long non-coding RNA (1155 nucleotides) under Naja naja (Indian cobra). Its description in RNAcentral is "lncRNA (ENSNNAG00000004305.1)". The record is from RNAcentral. Lineage: Eukaryota; Metazoa; Chordata; Lepidosauria; Squamata; Elapidae.
AUGCCUUCCCCCCCUUCCACUAAUACCCAGGGAAGGCCAGAAGAUUCUAGACAAGAAAGCGGAGUUGAUCUUGGUGGCACCGUUCUGGCCCAGGAGACAGUGGUUCGUGGACCUCCGGAGCCUCUCCACAGCAGAACUGUGGAAAAUUCCACCGCACAGGAUUCGGCUUACCCAGGGGCCGAUUCAGCAACCAGACCCUCAGUGGCUACACCUAGCCAUCUGGAGGUUGAGCAGCGACAUCUAAAGAGGGAAAACCUCUCAUCUAAGGUCAUCAAAACCAUCCAAGCAGCUUGGCGUCCUUCAACAAGCCGCAUAUACGACGCCACCUGGAAGACUUUCUAUACAUGGUGCUCCAAAUCCAACAUCGACUCCUUUUCUCCAUCAGUAGCACAAGUCUUGGAGUUUCUCCAAGAUGGUCUCGAUAGAGGCAUCUCGCCAAAUACUUUAAGGCAACAGGUAGCGGCCAUUGCAUCAGUGGUGCAUUGGAAAGGCCUAACAUCUAUCUUGCACCAUCCACAAAUAAAGAGUUUCCUUUGGGGGGCUACUAAUUUAUGUCCACCAGUAAUCCAUCGUUACCCGACAUGGGACCUUAACCAGGUCCUUACAGUGCUCACCAAAGGUCCAUUUGAACCGCUGAGAACUACCAGUCUCCAAUUUCUAACUUACAAGGUAGUGUUUCUCAUAGCCAUAACAUCUGCACGAUGUAUCUCAGAAGUAGCAGCUCUAUCAGUCCGAAAGGUCCUCUGUAUAUUCCAUGCAGACAGGGUAGUCCUCCGUCCAGACCCUACGUUCACUCCAAAGGUUAAUUCCCCUUUUCACAGGGCACAAGAACUGGUCCUCCCAAGUUUCUGUCCCAGGCCUUCUCACGGUCUGGAACACCAGUGGCACUGGCUGAAUGUCUGCAGAGCGCUCCGUACCUACUUACAUAGAACGGCUCCAUUCAGGAAAACUGAAGCCCUAUUUGUCUCCUUUCAUCCAACCACUCAAGGACAGAAGGUCUCACCUUCCACUAUAGGCAGAUGGUUAAAGGCCACGAUAGCCAAGGUGUAUAAAACACAAUCAUUACCCAUGCCGGGUGGCAUCACGGCACAUUCCACAAGGAGCGCAACUUCAGCGGCCUGGGCCACUCAAGCUCCUAUAACUGAAGUAUGUUGA